This is a long non-coding RNA of Mus musculus (house mouse), 8894 nucleotides long. RefSeq annotates it as predicted gene, 51897. The transcript has 2 exons. The record is from RefSeq and is a predicted model, not a curated record. Lineage: Eukaryota; Metazoa; Chordata; Mammalia; Rodentia; Muridae.
CUGGGAUUUGAACUUCAGACCUUCAGAAGAGCAGACGGGUGCUCUUACCCACUGAGCCAUCUCACCAGCCCCCUCUACCCUCAUUUCUAACAACCCCUCACCACUAGGAGCUGAAGUACACACUGGCUGCUAAAUUCCUCUUCCUUGACUCUGUGCUCCUGUCAUUAAACUACUUCUCUUGCAAAUGUGAGUGAGCCCUUAGCAGUGCCGGAGACCAGGCCCUUUCUCUAUGGAAGGGAAUCUAUUAAAACUGGAGGUUCCUGCCGCACACCUUCCCAGGUGAAUUUUGAGGUCUGGAAAGAGCCUAUCCCUACCUGUAUUUGAUCCUUAGACCACAGAAAUGCCACGGCACUGUAUAUUUUAGUGGUUAUAUUUCCACAGCUGUGUGUAGGCUUUUUCACUCUGGAAUCUAGUUGAGUGUCAACGUUGAGAGGGCCUGUUUGUGUUAACAGCACCACCAUAGUUUCGUUUUCUUUUGAGUUUGUCUGUGUACCUCUGGCUGUCCUGGAACAUGCAGAGCCCCCUGCCUCUGCCUACCAAGUGCUGGGAUUAAAGAUGUGUCACUACCACCAGGUGCACAACUCCACCAUCUUAUUAGUAUUAAUUUUAGAAGCUCUUAAUAAACAGAGCUUCUAAUAGACAGGAGGCAGUGAUCCUCACCUUCUGACCCGUCAUGGAAGCCAGGUUUAACACAUAGCAUAGAGUAACAAUAAUAAUGUACUGUAAACUAAAAAGAAAUACUAGAAUAGGGAUCCAGCUUUACCAGCUCCUGGCAUAAGAAGCCCUGAUUUUAAAAUGUCAAAGGUUGUGGUUCCAGGUAACCUCUGCCAAAUUAAUCUGUUGUUUUAAAACCAAAGUAAGUGUCAAGUCAUGUACCAGACUACCUUACCUUAGAAUUACACACAUUGGCAUUGCUUGAUCCGCACGGGUCACAUUACCAGUGCUGCUGCUGCUUCCCCUUUUCUUUUCUGUUUGUUUUUUUUGAGACAGGAUCUCAUUAUGUAGCUCUGAAUAUACUGGAACUCAGAUCUGCCUGCCUCUGCCUCCCAAAUGCUGAAAUUGCAGGUGCACAUCACUAUGCCCAGCAGAUACUUGUUCCCAUCAUUCUGAGCAGGCAGCUCUAGAGAGUAGAAUGAAUAAUCUACAUGCUGAUGGUAUUCCUUCCACUCUUGAAACUCUUGCUAAGGUCUUUAGUCUAGUUUCAAAGGAAGAUUGUCUUCCCGGAUAGAUGACUGCUUUGAGGUAAUCAGUGUGUGGAGUAAAUACCAUAGAGAGGGAAGUCUGGAAGGACUGUAGGCCACAGCCUACCCUUGUGGUAGUGGGUGUUCUUGCCAAGUGUUCAACUACUUUUGAGUUUGGACAGAAGGCGGUGGGUCUCACCUCCUGACUCCUCGUGGAAGCCAGGUUUAGCAUAUAGCAUAGAACACCAGGUAAGUUUGGGCUUCAGAUAACUGAAUCUUAUGAGUUAUUUAGGUUUGUCCUGACUAUAGUGUAGGGCAUAAUUUAACAAUUCUCAGUGCCUGUACUACAUUCAGAUUUAACUGGGUGUCUUCAGUGUGAUCUGCCAGCCACACUUUUCCUGUUUUCCUCUAUUUCCUGAAAGACUUGAGAAUUGCUCAAAAGAUAUGAAAAAUUGCUGCUGUGGCCCCCCUGAGCUUAUUUGACAGCAACAGUCGUGUGAGUGAAUAUCAUGCAGUCUCAGCGAGCUGCCUGCCUGUGCCUGAGUUUAUCAUCAGUCCUUGAUGAUCUGUUGCUCACAUAAAGCUUACCACGCUAGGGGUACAUAAGAUGUAUUGGUUAGUUUUGACCCAUCUGCCCAGGCCUUGUGUGUUAAUGGUGGCUGUUAGCACAUUCAAAGAUGGGUGUCGGCCGGGCGUGGUGGCGCAUGCCUUUUAUCCCAGCACUUGGGAGGUAGAGGCAGGUGGAUUUCUGAGUUGGAGGCCAGCCUGGUCUGCAGAGUGAGUUCUAGGACAGCCAGGGCUACACAGAGAAACCUGGUCUCGAAACCCCCCCCCCAAAAAAAAAGAAAAGAAAAAAAAUGGGUGUCAGAGUGCAUAUCUUUAACCCAGUGGCUUGGUAGGUGCAUGGUUGGUGGGAUUGGCUUGGGAUGGGAGUCAGAUCCCUUCCACUUUUUUUCUUUUUUGAGUCAGGGUUUAGCGCCAGACUUGCUGUGGUAGCUCAAGUUGGCCUCAGACUUGUGAGCUUCCUGCCUUGCUGCUGGAGACUGUGGGCAGAGCAGCUUGUUACCUGCCCCCCACCCCCUCUGGUCGUGCUCAGGCUUCUCUUCUUCCCUGUUGGCGCAGCGCUGAUCGGUGGCCUCUAGGACCCAGGGUUGCUUUCUCCAUUCAAGCAUUCUAGCUCCCAUCUCCUUUUUAGAAACCUACAGGUCCUUUUUGGUCAGGAUUUUGGUGCGUGUGAGGAAGCAGGUGUACAAUAUAAAUAAACUUUGUCAGUGGCGCAGGGAACAACAGUUGUUGUGAGGUUGCUCCCUACCCUGUGAGUGGGAAUGGGUACACACAGCUUCCUGCGGAUAGUACAGGUUUCCCCAAUUUAAGAAAGAGCUCUAUGUUGGGAAAGAGCAACUUCAUGUCCCAGGUACCACCUCAGCAGCCCUUCGCUGCUGCUGCCCCAGGUAGUGCACAAGCUGCGCUCUUCAGGGUGCAGCGAGGAUUUUCAUUUCCUCUUCAGUUCUAGUUGGACAGGUUGAAUCGGUGUCAGUGUACCCAUUCCAGUAAUCGGGACAGAAAAAGUCAUUUCUUGGAGAGUGGUUCCCACGUGCAGAGGCUGAAGCAGGGAGAAUUGACACCAGCCUGGGCUCCCCCCCCCCUAUUUUUUAUUAAUAGGCAUGAGGAUUUUGCCUACAUGUAUGUACGUGCCAUGUCAUACAUUUUUUGUUUGAUCAUUUUUUGAGACAGGCUUUUUCCGUAUAGUUUUGACUGUUCCUGAACUCACUUUGUAGACCAGACUGCCUCAGAAAGAUCCUUUGCCUUUGUAAUCUCAAGUGCUGGGAUUAAAGUGGGUCUCCACCACCACACUGCAGCCAUUGAUCUCUCCAACCCCCACCCACCCACCCAGAUUUCUUAGACCCUGUUUCAAAGUUUAAAAAAAAAAGUUUGUAGUACUCUAAGCAGUUGGUCAUGACCAAGCAGAAAUGAUCUAUGUUAGGGUAGCACCAUCCGGGGGACAGUGACCGCGGAAUCCAGCUUGCCGCAGAGUACCCCUUUGUCUAUGAAAUAGGAUGGGGCUUGAAAGUGACCUAGGACUUUUGGGAUAGCAUUGGAAAUGUAAUUGAGGAAAAUAUGUAAUUAAAAAAAAAAAAAGAAAAGAAAGUGACCUAGGAAGCUACAGGAAUAUAGCUCAUGCAAGUGUUUUUAGGAAUGAAUUUUUUAGGUAAGGAUAGUGAUUCGUGCCUUUGUCUUUCAUCCCAGAACUCAUGAAGUGGAUCUUUGUGAAUUACAGACCAGCCAGGACUACAGAGUGAGACUCUGUCUUCUCUCCCCCUCUCCCAAUGUCUGCCCCAAAGGAAUGAAAUUUAACAGGUGGCAGUCAUCUGUAAUUCUAGUAAUUGGGAGAUGAAGACAGAAGAGAAUUCUAGCCUGAACUACUUGAACCGGUAUCUCAAAGAUCCUCCCUCCAAUAAACAGUGACUUAAUCAACAUGUGUAAUUUUGUAGUUUGCUCUUGCAACAGUAAGUCAGUGUUGGAGCAAGGGGAACACUGCGGGCUUGGUGGUGGUGUAUAGAAUUGUCUAGUGGGCUUCACACUGAACCCUAUUGCCUGGGAGUUUGUUGUGCUGUUUGACCUACUACACACUUUCCCAUAACUGGCCCUGGGUGCUUAGAUUGGUGUGAGAGGCCAGCUGUGUGGCCUGGCUGCAUGAUUGCAGUGUGAAGGGGCACUUAACCCUAUCCCAGAGAGUUGAGAAGUAAUCAUGUUUAGACAGUAUUUACAGCAAGCUUUUGACACAAAGACUGUAAUGCUGGAUGCUGGGGACCUGCAUCCUCAGCAGUUCCACUCUAAGACCCAUGGCCUGCUUGUGAGGCAGAAUGUGCUGGGCGGAGACUACCUGGGUUUUAGUCCCUCCUCAGCUACCUGUAGUUGAGUGAGCCUCUUUGUGCCUUGGUUUCCUUGUCAUUAUCAUCAUAAUGAUACCCACUUCUUGAGUUUGACAUUUGUAGGAUGUAUCAGCUAGUUAUGAUAAUGGUUUCACAGGCUGAGUUAGAACCUGGUCUAGAAUUGCUUUCUAACUUGUAUCUUUUUAUGGCAGUGGUUGGGGAGGGGUUUCAGAGGAGACUGCCUUGAGACUUUACUAUGGUGAAGGAAGGAUCAGCCACUUUGCGUUAGCAUAUAUUCUGUGUGAAGGAAGUCUUUCUGUUUGCUGGGAACUAAAAGGUAGCUGGUAGCAUCCUUUGGAAGGGAAUCAGUUGUGUCUCAUUAGAAGAUACUUAGAGUCUUUGCAUAAGUCAGUGUGCAGCUGAAGGUUGCUGAUUUGACUAAAGUCCAGUGUGAUCUUCAGGAAAGGCCGAUCAGGGUUUCAGCCUUUUAUCAUUAAUCAGCUCUUGAAUAGGACUUCAGGGACUGGUACCAGUUGUUGGGGGGGUGGCCAUAGCCACCAUUGGGCUGUAUGGUCCCUGUUUGGGCAGGAGGAGUGGGAACACUGAAUGCGUGGGUCACCACAAGCUAAAGAUAGUCUGGCCUAGCAGACAUCACGUGACUGCUUUCUGGCCUACCCUCUGCCUGAGGACAGAUGCACUGUAUCACAAGCUGGAUGUUGGCCUGCAGCUUCUUUUCUGCAGGGUUUCAAGUCAGUCUGACCUUCUGAAGCCCACUUCUUCCUGCCCACAGCCCCUCCUGAGUUUUUAUCUGCAGACAUGGGGACUGGAUGGGAGGGACAGGGUAGAGAAAGUCCUCUAAGAAGUGGCAGCCAAAGCCACAGAGAGCUCAUAUAAGGUAUGGAAGCUAAUUGGACAUUCUUUUUGCCUUGUAGAGAAACCUCCUGUUGGGGAGUUGCUUAGGUUUGUAGGGAUGGGACAAAGACAGAAUUGUUUGUCCAUCUUUAGGUUUUAACAUGAUUCUACCCAGGCUGGCUUGGGAGGGAGAGGCACAGGUGUGUCACCCUCCCUUCCUAUAGCUUUACUACCUUUUUCAUAGUCAAAGGACUGGGCUGGGGUAAGGCAGAAAGAACCCUGUGCUCUGGUCCAAGAUUUGGCUGAGGAGUCUUUGUGGGGCAAAGUCUGUGGUGGAGGAUCUGGGUGAGACUAGGGGCUGAUGAAGGCCAUCACCAUUUGACCUUCAUGGUCCCUAGCUUCGUUCCCACCCUUUGAUGGUGGUUAAGGCAUAACCUUUAGAACACACACUCCAGAUCUUGUCCUGCUGCUUGACUGUUCUAACCUUGGCAAACACUUGUAGUAGAUGUCUUGAUUUUCUUGAUAAUGGGACCAAUGAAAGGAACUCAUUUGACUUUAAGGAUUGUGAGAUCCAUGUCGUGCUUAAGACAUAAGAACCUCACACCCUGCUUGGGAUGAAGUUUAGCCUUUAGCCCCCCCCCCCCCUUGGCCUUUUCUGUUAUACCUACAUAGAGCAUCAGCUUUUCGUGUAGCUAAGGAAGAUGGUGUUGGGAUGGCUGGCAGUGCCCUCACAUUCAUCUCAAGGCCUAUGAGAGCCAGUAAUGUCUAGGCUGCUUGUUCUGUCAUUACCACCCUCCAUCCCCACUCCCAAGAAGGCUCAAACUAAAGGCCAAAGAGUCUUGUGAGGCCAGGCCCCGGGCUAGUCAUUGUGCUUCCUGUUGUGAGAACAGCCUGGUCCCUGCACUCAUCAGGAACUCUGUUGUCUAGAGCGGUCCCUGGAUGGUUAAUAUGUACUGUGUCCUGAAGAGUGCCUAGUAGAGGGUCUUGGCUUCACUCAUGUUCUGGAGGUCUCUAAAAAGGACAUUGAUUUUGGCUAGGUGGAGGAGGCACUGCUGGAGUUAAGUAAGGGUGGGGGGUAUAGCUGGCUGGUUUGUAAAUCUUUUGCAGCCAACCCCAGCAGUCCUGCUUAAACUCAACCUAUGGGACACUGGUCUUUAUUACUAGCACUGGGUAAAUCUGGGACCUCCCAUUUUGAUCCCAUUCUGGCUGGCCACCCACUUAUUCCUGUAUACUUAAUUUACUAGCUUAUCCCAUCCUUCCUUCAGUACUGGUCCAUAAUUUCAAUCCACCCCUACCCAUUCUUUGUGCCAUGGCCUGAUAGGGUUGGAUUAUUUUAUACCUUCUUCACCAAAAACCUUAAGUACUUCCUGGGAGGUUGCAAGUAACUCAGGAGACUUCCAGCCCCUUUUGGGGUAGUCCUUGUUACAAAAACGUUAGCAGCCUUAGGUCUUUCUAGAACUGGACAAUACAGAAAAAAUAAUUGGUAGCCUUUGUACCAGGUCUAUAAAUGUCCCCAUAUUUUCCUAUUUAGAACUCUGAAGGUUUUCUUCUUUCCUGGGGAGGGGAGUGUGAGGAUGUGGGUGGCUCCUUGCCACAGGUCUCUGCCUUGGAGACAGGUUUGAGGCGUUGUGGGCUGUCUGAUUUGUAUUUUAAGGUGGAAAUUGAAGCUGACAGUUUUAGAGACCUGGAAUGGUGAUCUGCUCGUGGAGAGAUGACUUGAUGGUCUUUUUCUCUGCUAAGGAUGAGGGUAGAUUUUGAUUUCUUAGGGAGUUCAAAUUGUAACAUUUAACAUUUGUUGAGUGCCUUUACCGUGUGCUGGGCAUUCUGUGGCUUGUUUGCUUACAUCAGUGGGCCCCUGACGUCAGUAUUACCUCCAGAAUCACAGAGGUCUAGACAAGGGGUGUAUUCCAUGUGCUUAACGGUACCAUCUGUCUUUCCUGGGUAUUUGAGUAAGUACACUGGAAAAUGGAGGUUCACAAACAUUCCUUCUUCAUAUGCCCUGCACUGUAAGGGACUUUUACCCCCUAAAGCCCACCCUGCCAUAGCUCCUGCUAAUAAUGCCUUGCAGCACCCACUCUUCUUUUGGUCCUUUCUUUCUUCUGCAAUAAUGGACUCUUGUGUCCUUCACUCAGGAAAACAAUCUUAACAGAGUGAAAAAGAGUUUGCUAUGUAGAUAGCUUCAGGAAAAAGCCCAGGUGCCCCCUUUGAAAAGUAGACUGUCCUUCAGAGGAACGUUGAUGUGCUUCUUUUUGCUUUGUUUAGGUUUUUUCAUUAUUUGUUUUUUUAAUUUGUAAUGCGCUUUCUAUUAAAUUAUUUAUUUAUUUAUUUGCCUUUGUUUUAUUCAAGACGGGGUUUCUAACAGCCCUGGCUGUCCUGGAACUCACUUUGGUGACCAGGCUGGCCUUGAACUCACAGAGAUCAGAUUUCUUCUGCUUCCUGAGUGCUGGGAUUUAUGGCAUGUGCCACCAUGCCCAUUUUAAUCCUAAUUGUUUCUUUUAUGUUUAUGAAUGUUUGCCUGUGUGGAUUUCUGUGCACCAUGUAUGUUCAGUAUCCAUGGAGACCAGAAGGAGACAUUGGAUUUCUUGGAGACAGUUAGGUGUUUGUUUGUUGAGCCUCCAUAUGGGUGUUGGGAAUUGAACUUGGGUCCUGGAAGAGCAGCUGGUGCUCCUAAUCACUGAAUCAUCUCUGCAGCUCCUUACUUUAUUUCUUUGUGUGUGCAUAGCACACAUAUUGAGGCUAAUUGCAGGAAUCAGUUCUCUUCUUCAGUCAUGUGGGUCACAGGUGGUGUAUACCUUUAAUCCCAGCACCCAGGAGACAGAGCCAAGGUGAAUGUCUUGAGUUCAAAGCCAGUCUGAUCCAGGGCUGCACAGAGGGGGGAAACAAACAACAACAACAAAAAAAAAACACACACACACACAAAACCAAACACAGUUGACUCCUCUUCUAGGUACCUGGCAGCCUCUAAUCUUCACGGAGGAGGAAGCCAUCCUAGAACUUGGGCCUGCCAUUUCAUACUGACCCUAUAAGCUCAGACUGGGAUGUCUGAUUGGAAAAAAAUAGAGAAGGGCCCUAAAUUACAGUAAGACGUGACAGUUAGGAGAGACUUUCACUCAUGUCCAGGAAGAGGGGACCUUUCUACUGCCAGUGGAUGUCUGGGAAUCCAUGCCAUUUCUUGGAAGAGAAUGAAGCCUCUAGUUCCUAGCUAUUUCUAGAAAAUCCUUCCCAUGUAUAGCUGGAGUCCCCUGCCUACAAACAGUGGGGUUAGAAUUGUUUUCUUUUUCUUUAAAAAAAGAUUUAUUAUUAUACAUAAGUACACUGUAGCUGUCCUCAGACGCACCAGAAGAGGGCGUCAGAUCUCAUUAUGGGUGGUUGUGAGCCACCAUGUUGUUGCUGGGACUUGACCUUGGGACCUUCAGAAGAGCAGUCAGCGCUCUUAACCGCUGAGCCAUCUCGCCAGCCCCGAAUUGUUUUCUUAUAUAAGUGACAGUGAUGUGUCCUGAGCUUGGCUUGGGUGACUGGUGGCAGGUAAGGCAGGCAGAGUGCUGACUUGGCUUGGUGCAGGAUGGACAUUAGGGUCCUGCUGCCUUGGAGGCAGUCUGAGGCUCUAGCAAGGAACAGGAAAAAAGAACAGGGCACCAUAGUUCCUCUUGGUGGAACUCUGGGAUGUAACUCUAAUAAACUCUACUAGGACUGUCCUGUGUGACCCAGCAGGCCACUCUACGCUCUCAUCAGGUGGAUGCUCAAAUAGGAAUGAACAGGCUCUUCUAGGCUUUCUCUCUGUACUGGAGACAGAACUUGCAGUCCAUGACCACGUUCUGCUGAGAUCUCAGGGUGAUCCCAUCAGUACUGUUCAGUUUUGAGAGUUUUUAUAAGAAAUAAGCUGGCCAAUGGAGUAUGCAUCUGGAAUUCCAGCUUGGUAGGCUGUGACAGGGGAAUGGCUGGAAUGUAGAGGCUGCUUUGGGCUACAAGCAAGACCCUUCCUUAAAAA